CGCCUUUUCUUAAUUCGUAACUAAGAAUGAUCAUAACCAGAGCUGUGUUUUAAAAUGAAUUCUCCACUUUUGAGAAAUUUAUAUUGUUAUUAAACUUAACCGCUUAUAAUUAGUUGCCUCUUGGUUGAUUUUAUACAUUAUAUUUUAAGUAACAGUGACUGGUCAUUUCAUUUUGUAUUGGUUUUUUUUUUCGAUUCGUUCCAAUUUUCUUUCCUUUCGCACUUUACAGGUAUCCCUCUCUUCACCUCUUUUAGUUUUUAUCAUUUAGUGAAAUCAACUUCACAAAUAUAUCAUAUAAUAUAUUCAUAUAACAAAAGACACGUUUAAAACUCUUGACUUGUCUUAUUCGGUCCUAUUUAAUAAAGAGUUACGAC
Molecule: long non-coding RNA, 374 nt
Filed under: Mytilus galloprovincialis (Mediterranean mussel)
Lineage: Eukaryota; Metazoa; Mollusca; Bivalvia; Mytilida; Mytilidae
Source: RNAcentral